GUGAAUUGAAUAUGUUAGCGGACCUCUUCGGAGUCCCUAGCAUCAAAUCAUAUCCAUAACACCUGUGAACUGUAAGGCUGUCUUGAAAACGAAAGUGAUUAGAGCGCCUGCCCAUUUAUACAAACAUUAAAGUAACAGAACGUAGUCUUAUUAUAAUCUAAUAA
RNAcentral lists this unclassified non-coding RNA (164 nucleotides) under soil metagenome. Its description in RNAcentral is "partial internal transcribed spacer 1". The record is from RNAcentral.